GCCCAGAAAAUCACCAGUCAAAGUGAGCCGAACACCUCCGAACUCUUUAAAGAUAGUACAGCGCAGCAGCAUAGAGACCCGCUACGCGCACACACAAUGCGGAAGAACUGUCAGGCUAUGACAUAUGUAUUAUGCACGCCCAAAAUGCGAGCGGUAGUAUUCUCCCAUGUAUUCUCCAUCACUGCCCUGAAACCUGGCGCUAUUUAUCCUAAAUGUGCUUGAAGCGCAAACCUGGAGCUGACCACGCCGCUCCUAGCCGACUGCCCGACCUCGCCCGCACCGUACCGCUAGCUAGUUAACUAGCGCACCAUCAUGCACCGAUCGCGAUAUGCGUACCGAUAUCCGCGCCCCAUCUUCGUCUCAAAAGCUGCUUUACCAAAGACGUCAAUGGAAAUUUGCAAAGCCUUGGCUGAUGAGAUACUUGAUACUACUAAUUUGGUCGGGAUUUGAUGAUCUCAUAGCCAUGUUACAGUGACUGCCCCUUCGUAGAAUCAUUACCAUGGUUUUAUGAUCGACGGGUUGGUUGUCAGAUGCCUGUGCGAAUACCCCAUCCGAAACAACGUCUCCUCUACGGACUACAAGAGUGUUAACAACAUUCUGCAGAGACGUCUGUAGUAAAGCUCUGUAGAGAUCCCAAGAAUAUUCACACGCAGAGUUUUAACAUAGAUUGAUAUGAAGGUACUUUACAGAAGGAAGAAGGAAAUUACUGUCUGGAGUGCAAGAUCCUGGAUGAUACUGGUGUGAAGUCUACCAAGGAUAGAGAAUAGCCGAUAGGGGAAGUUCAUAAAGUGGUAAAGAUGACAGAUGGCUAGUCAGCAUACGUUAAUUCUUUGUUCACACUGCUUUUACCUCUGACACUAACCAGAAGAAGUCUUGAUCAGGAAGUGGACAUUGCACCUACAAGAAAUAUAACCAAGCAGCAUUUUUCUCUCACAGAUAUACUGUACAUUCAUAUGUGAUUGUACUAUGAGAAUGGAAUCUACACACUGUUUUAGAGUAGGAAUUAUGUAAAAACCUUGUUUCAAAUCAACAGCUUUCAUAUGUUAUGUAACAUUGAAGGAUUAUAUUGUCCAAGAAUAUUUGAUUCAUCAGACUUCUUUGUGAAGGAGGUGUGGAUUCUCUCUUUAAUCUCUACCAACUCGCAGAGAUGUGCUUGUGUGAGGUAUCCCUGUUACAGCAAUGAAGCAUACUGGGCCAAUCAACUAUCACGUGUGACCAACCGACACAGUCCGAAAGGAAGGAGAGAGUGAGAAAGAGUUCUGAAUCAUCGAGGGAUAGGAAUCACAUAUUUAUAGGACGAGUUUAUUUAUAGCUGCUCUUGAAGAGAGUGUGUACUACUCCCCCCUUGCCAAAUCAAAUCGUUGGCGAUAAAAGAUAAUCUCGCCACUAGUGACACAUUGCCAUUUGCAGCUUAUGCAUCCAGUGGAUAUCUUAAUGCACACAUUGAAGGAAUAUCAGUAUCGCCUCCUCAUAUACUGGUCAAUCCCGUGUGAAUUAAAGUUGAAAACGUGUAUGCAGAUGCCCUUCAUAGGGAAAGGAAGGUUUCGUUGAUUCCAUAUCGGGAUUUCAGUGUGACUCGUUGGAUCAUUAUCAAGGAUUAUUUAAAGCUCAACUGACAGUGACAUCACACACAAGCCGCUGCAUGUAUUUCUAAUGGAUCAGGUUUUCAUGGGUUAAAAUUGCAACUCGUAUUCACCAAGAAAUUGUGCAAUAUUUCGAAAUUCAUAAAGAACUGUACGUAACUCCUCAUUGAUGUCGCUACCGACCGGUAUGUUUGACGUCCAUUGUGCACAGUUCGUGGCGUGAUUGACUAUUGUGUAGUGUAUUUUGUUGAUUGGAUUAUUACUCGGAAUCACUCAAAAUGGCUCUGAAAGGAACAAAAGCGUUGCAGUCGUGGUGCGUCAAGGUCACGACCGGUUACCCGAACGUCAAGAUCGAGAACAUGACGAAGUCGUGGAAGGACGGACUUGCCUUCUGCGCUAUAAUACAUCACUACAGACCAGAGUUAAUAGACUUCAAUUCACUGUCAAAGAAAAAUAUCAGGGAGAAUUGCACUUUGGUGAGUACAGUACUGGUAGACCAGAGUAUUAAGCUUUUAUCGGUUACUAUCAGUUCAUGUACAUAACGUUUCCACUAGCAAUGAACAUGAAUAUGUUUUCACAGUUAAAUGUUCCUGACAGGCACCUUUACAGGUAUCUUCAAGUUCUUCAACUUCUUCCCUGUACUGUAGAAGGGGUUUGCUGAGAGUGUAUCACUUAAGAUCUUUUUUGCCAGUGACUUUCACUGACAGAUGUUAUAAGCGACUGUAAAUUCUUGUAUCUGAUUGGCUGAAACCCAAAUAUUCGAUGAGAAUUACUAAUUGUUUCUUGAAAUACACCCCAGGUCUCGUGCUAGGACAUCCGUGCAAAAAGCCUCUCGGAUGUUCUAUAUCUAGAGACUUGAUCACCUUGGAACGAAAGCUAUGUUUUUAUCAGAUGCAACUGUGAGUUGCUGUUUGAGGUGCUUUUUACAUGGCAUACAUUUUCUUUGUAUUUCUGUUAAUGUUAUUUUUAUCCGUUUUCAAUGUCAUAUUUUUGGCACGAUACCAUAUUCUUCAUAUUUUAUCAUUGUGAUACCAUACAUGUAUUCUUCAUAUUUUAUCAUUUUUGGGGCAUUUUCACUUUCCCUCUUGCCCCAUGACAUUGGAAGGGUUUCAUACCUCCGUUUUGAACGAUUGUUUUCUUUUUUGCCCAUCUUUCCCUGUUCAGUGCAAAAGUGGAUUACAGUGCAAUAGUACGUAGUAGGCCUGUACAUGAUGCAAUGUGUACACUGUAUUUACUUGUAAGAUUGGUCUAGGAGUACUUCCUUCUUUAUAGUAUGACAAGAUAAAUACAUGCAUAAAAUAUACAUGUAAUUCAUUUAUUUUCAGGGAAGGAAGGGGUGAAUCAAUUGCAUCCCCCUUCAUUCAUAUGUACAUACUAGUUCAUUCAUAUGUACAUAGACUGAGUGUUCAUACAUGUAAAAACAUCUUCACAAUCAAUCGCAAAUACACCAAUUAAACCUUAUUAAACCAUUUUAUUGAGUGAUCAUAGUAUGCGUUUUAUUGCAAGAAGAUGCCAAUAAAUUACAACACACUAAAUUGCGAGAUUUUAAUAUGAAUACUUCAUGUCUUGAUCCAAAAUCGACUUUCAAUCCACUGCAAGAUUUAUUUCAAGAUCCUCUGACAGACUGUCUCCCCAAGCUAAAUGAUUUUUACAGAAUACAUACAUAUACUAAUCUUAUCUUCCUUCUAAAAAUUCUAUAUCUGUUUCUGGUCUAUAUGUAUGUUUUGAAAUGUUUAAUGAUGAAUAUCAUUUCUCCCUUGUAUUCCUACAUGUAGAGUAAGAAAGACAUUUUUCAUUUUGAUGAUUCAAUUUUGUUUCUAUUCAGCAAUGUCUAGCAAUGUGACUAAUCAACUCUUCAGGAUACCUUUCACUUCCAGACAAUUCUUUUCAAGCAAAAAUGGUGCCAUGACCCUAUCGGGCCUCUUGUUUACAGAAUGACCGUUUACCAUCAUGACAUUGACUCUAUUAAUUCUAAGAUCCAAUUAAAACGAUCCCUUCCUCACUUUUAGAUAUUUAAUCAGCCACUUGUCAAAAUCGUGCACUCGCCUCCCAAGUCCGAGUGACCCUAAACUAGACAAGAUAUCGCGCCGAAUUACGGUCAUCGAGGUAGGGGCCUGAUUCGCUCUUCCGGUCUUUACUGGGAAGCCAGUGACGCUGGUAAUGAUUGCUUCCUAUCUUGCCAUGUUCCGAAAGGAUCCUGUGUAUACAUGGCUUGAAAACAGCAAGACUGGUUCUAUUUACACCUAGUAGUAUUAAAGAGCUUCUGUAUUUACUUGAUGGGAUCAGGGACCUGUUGCAUAAAAGUUACUAUUCACAAUAAUUAUAGUAACUUUGUCAUGUAAACUAUAAUCCUCGAUUUUGUUUCCACCCAAAAGUGAUCUUGAACAUUACCCAUACAUAAAAUUUUAAUUGUUAUUAAAUACAUACUGUAUAAAUGUCAUCUUCGUUAUUUUACAAAUCAACAUCAGUGUAAUCAUUUUCAUUCCAGCUAAAAAAAAAGUUUUGAAUAUCAAACUUCCAAAGUGCCGACUUUUUCACUUUUGAAUUUUUAUGGCGCAGUCACAUUUUGCCAACAUUUUCGACUCACCGGAUGCCGGAGGGGAAAUGUGACUGCAGUGGCAGCUGUCGAUUGCAAUAUUAGUGAGACAAUAUAUUAAAUGUAGUUCCGGUAUGAGACACAAAAAUGUAUGGAAACUUAGACAAUGCAAACUUUGCUCCAUAAUUGCAUACUGUGCAUUUGAAUGUAAAGACCAAUUUGUGAUUAAUAUACAUGUAUGUAAAUAAUAAUUUUAGUGAUGUGAGGCAGGCAAUAUAAAUGCUGAUUCCAUUCUAUGCUACUUUUCAAAAGGGCACAUUACAGUAAAAUUGGGAUGUAUUAUUUAAAGGGAAGUUCACCCUCACAAAAAGUUUAUUGUGAAAAAUAGGAGAAAAAAAUAAUUAAAAUAUUGCCGAAGGUUUGAGAAAAAUCCAUCAAAGAAUAAAAAAAUUAUUAGAAUUUGAAUUAUAGUGAAAGGAGUUUAAUAGGCCAAUCUUUAAACCCAAUAAUGGCCCUGAAUUAAUAGAAGCCUCUAGGAUUAUCUUAAGCAUCUAUGACAUAGCAGUUAUUGCCCAUGCUAAUUGAUUUCUCGUGAUUUUAAUGUAUCAUCACAGGUGCUACAUAACUUUUUAGAAGCACUUGCCCAGUCGGGCAAGUAAAUUUUUAAAUAGUUGGAAUAUACUUGCCCAAUAAUCUAUUUCACUUGCCCG
This is a long non-coding RNA of Lytechinus pictus (painted urchin), 4829 nucleotides long. RefSeq lists it as uncharacterized. The transcript has 3 exons. NCBI's taxonomy places the organism in Eukaryota, Metazoa, Echinodermata, Echinoidea, Temnopleuroida, Toxopneustidae. The record is from RefSeq and is a predicted model, not a curated record.